This 426-nucleotide long non-coding RNA is filed under the name Mus pahari (shrew mouse). RNAcentral describes it as "lncRNA (MGP_PahariEiJ_G0003079.1)". The record is from RNAcentral. Lineage: Eukaryota; Metazoa; Chordata; Mammalia; Rodentia; Muridae.
CGCACAGGUGUCUGGCUGCUGGGAGCCCCCCCUGAGCCUCCCACCAUGAUGACCGUUUCCUCAGGCUGCGAGCAUGGGGUCACUAACUCCACAUAGCAGAGAACCCUGACUUUCAGGGAACCUUCACAGAACAUCAGAGUAUGUGUCAAUCUCCUCGUUCAUUAUUCCCGGACAGCCACCAGCACACACUCAGACUGCUGUGAAGUCUAACUUAUUGAAAGAGCAGUGGUUCUCUUUAAAGAUAAUGCAUGCUGAGGUCAAUUGCAGCCUUCCUGCCAGAGCUGAAAAGAGGACACGCUCCUCAGGAGAGGAAGACUGGGCUCAGCUCCCUCACAGCAUGUCAUCUCCUUGACGCUAUAGUGCAAACUCUCUUCCUCCUUAUGAAAGUCCUUUGUGCCCCCGAGAUUCCCAAGACAGAGAUGUGCG